This 1348-nucleotide ribosomal RNA is filed under the name metagenome. RNAcentral's name for it is "bacterial LSU rRNA". It matches the Rfam family "Bacterial large subunit ribosomal RNA", at positions 1564 to 2925 of the family's 2925-position model. The record is from RNAcentral.
UGAGUACGAGCUGCUACGGCAGCGAAGUGGGGAUGUCAAGCUUCCAAGAAAAGCCCUAUACCCGUUAAGGCAUGAUGGCCUGUACCCGAAACCGACACAGGUGGGGUGGUAGAGAAUACCGAGGGGCGCGAGGUAACUCUCUCUAAGGAACUCGGCAAAAUGGCCCCGUAACUUCGGGAGAAGGGGUGCCACCGCAAGGUGGUCGCAGUGAAGAGGCCCAGGCGACUGUUUACCAAAAACACAGGUCUCCGCUAAGUCGCAAGACGAUGUAUGGGGGCUGACGCCUGCCCAGUGCCGGAAGGUUAAGGAAGCUGGUCAGCGCAAGCGAAGCUGGCGACUGAAGCCCCGGUGAACGGCGGCCGUAACUAUAACGGUCCUAAGGUAGCGAAAUUCCUUGUCGGGUAAGUUCCGACCCGCACGAAAGGCGUAACGAUCUGGGCGCUGUCUCGGAGAGAGGCUCGGCGAAAUAGAAUUGUCUGUGAAGAUGCGGACUACGUGCACCCGGACAGAAAGACCCUAUGAAGCUUUACUGUAGCUUGGUAUUGUGCCCGGGCUCUGAAUGCGCAGGAUAGGUGGGAGGCUUUGAUCCAUUGCUUGUGGGUGAUGGUGAGCCACUGGUGAGAUACCACUCUUUCAGAGCUAGGGUUCUAACGGUCACCCGUUAUCCGGGGACCGGACAGUAUCAGGUGGGCAGUUUGACUGGGGCGGUUGCCUCCUAGAAGGUAACGGAGGCGCGCAAAGGUUCCCUCAGGCUGGUUGGAAAUCAGCCGACGAGUGUAAAGGCAGAAGGGAGCUUGACUGUGAGACCUACAAGUCGAACAGGGACGAAAGUCGGCCUUAGUGAUCCGACGGUUCUGAGUGGAAGGGCCGUCGCUCAACGGAUAAAAGUUACUCUAAGGAUAACAGGCUGAUCUCCCCCAAGAGUUCACAUCGACGGGGAGGUUUGGCACCUCGAUGUCGGCUCAUCGCAACCUGGGGCUGAAGUCGGUCCCAAGGGUUGGGCUGUUCGCCCAUUAAAGCGGUACGCGAGCUGGGUUCAGAACGUCGUGAGACAGUUCGGUCCAUAUCCGGUGCACGCGCAGGAACAUUGAGAGGAUUUCUCCCUAGUACGAGAGGACCGGGAGGAACGCACCUCUGGUGUACCAGUUAUCGUGCCAACGGUAAACGCUGGGUAGCCAUGUGCGGAGUGGAUAACCGCUGAAAGCAUCUAAGUGGGAAGCCCACCUCAAGAUGAGUGUUCCCAUGGCAUAAGCCAGUAAGGUCACGGGAAGAACACCCGUUGAUAGGCUCUACGUGGAAGCGUGGCAACACGUGAAGCGGAGGAGUACUAAUAGACCGAGGGCUUGAC